UGACUGUAGGUGAAAGCUUACAUCUCUUCGGAGCAUUUUACGAGGUGCUGCAUGGUUGUCGUCAGCUCGUGCCGUGAGGUGUCGGGUUAAGUCCCAUAACGAGCGCAACCCUACCUUUAGUUGCCAUCAGGUAAUGCUGGGGACUCUAAAGGAACUGCCUACGCAAGUAGUGAGGAAGGCGGGGAUGACGUCAAAUCAGCACGGCCCUUACGUCCAGGGCUACACACGUGCUACAAUGGCCGAUACAGAGGGCAGCUACCUGGUGACAGGAUGCAAAUCUCCAAAGUCGGUCUCAGUUCGGAUCGGAGUCUGCAACCCGACUCCGUGAAGUUGGAUUCGCCAGUAAUCGCGCAUCAGCCAUGGCGCGGUGAAUACGUUCCCGGGCCUU
This 388-nucleotide ribosomal RNA is filed under the name uncultured Sphingobacteriales bacterium. RNAcentral describes it as "bacterial SSU rRNA". It matches the Rfam family "Bacterial small subunit ribosomal RNA", at positions 992 to 1382 of the family's 1533-position model. The record is from RNAcentral. Lineage: Bacteria; Pseudomonadati; Bacteroidota; Sphingobacteriia; Sphingobacteriales.